Molecule: non-coding RNA, 188 nt
Organism: Myotis lucifugus (little brown bat)
Lineage: Eukaryota; Metazoa; Chordata; Mammalia; Chiroptera; Vespertilionidae
Source: Rfam
AUCGCUUCUCGGCCUUUUGGCUAAGAUCAAGUGUAGAAUCUGUGGUAGCAUAACUUGCUUGACAAGCUUUAGUUUUUGUGUUUAAGUGUGAACUAUUAAUGAAGAAAAUUAAAUUAAACUUAUUAAAAGGUGCGUUACUAAGUUUGAGACAGUGUUUGAUUAUUGAAAGCCUAAACUCUCAACCCUCC